UUGACCUCGGAUCAGGUGGGGAUACCCGCUGAACUUAAGCAUAUCAAUAAGCGGAAGGA
Molecule: ribosomal RNA, 59 nt
Filed under: Chaenotheca chlorella
Lineage: Eukaryota; Fungi; Ascomycota; Coniocybomycetes; Coniocybales; Coniocybaceae
Description: partial 28S ribosomal RNA
Source: RNAcentral